Molecule: microRNA, 23 nt
Filed under: Ascaris suum (pig roundworm)
Lineage: Eukaryota; Metazoa; Nematoda; Chromadorea; Rhabditida; Ascarididae
Description: asu-miR-375-3p
Gene: asu-miR-375-3p
Source: miRBase by way of RNAcentral
UUUGUUCGUUUUGCUUGCGAUCA